This is a long non-coding RNA of Dendronephthya gigantea, 541 nucleotides long. RefSeq lists it as uncharacterized. The record is from RefSeq and is a predicted model, not a curated record. The transcript is spliced from 3 exons. Lineage: Eukaryota; Metazoa; Cnidaria; Anthozoa; Malacalcyonacea; Nephtheidae.
UUGAAAACAGGCCUUACUGUUAAGUGUCAUCAAUGUAUAAAGUGCAUUGUCCGUUGGAAUGUUUUUCGGGUAAUAAAAGGACAGAAACUUCGAGGUGGAACUCAGACUUGUGAUAAUCUCGACGAAAAAAGGAUCACUCGAAGAAAUUUAGGGCGGAAAAGUUGGAGGAAUAUCGCUCAGAAGGAACUACGGCGCCGAAAGAUGGGAAAGACGAAACACAAGCGCUUGCUCGCUGCGGAAUAAUAGAACGAAACAAUCGUAAAGAGAUGUCGGACAUGCCUUGGGACAUUUAUGCACGCAAAUACAAAACUCGAUUUCGACAAUAUGCAUGAGUAAAAAUUGCAUGGAAUUUGGCUUUUUUGACUGAGAUAUAAACUGAACACUCUUCUGUUUACCUCCUUCAUUUUCAAGUUUUCCGCCUGUGCGUGAUUUUUGCAUGAAGUCUGGUCGUAUCAAGCGCAUGCGGAGUGAAUACAAGUGAUUCUGGGGCCCCAAUCACUUGUGUUUUCUCCAUCUUGACGACUAUAUAGUCCGGACAAAA